Molecule: long non-coding RNA, 581 nt
Filed under: Physcomitrium patens
Lineage: Eukaryota; Viridiplantae; Streptophyta; Bryopsida; Funariales; Funariaceae
Description: long non-coding RNA (PPAT_LNC007021)
Source: RNAcentral
UUCUUCGGGGACCGACACAACAAAUUCUCAAGACUGUCAAUGAAAUGAUCUUUUUUAGCCAUAGAAAUAGACCCUCUGACCGACGGUAUGAAGUAACCGUGCCGUUUCGUCGCAAAGGGUAUUUGACAUGGGUGCCUGCCUCUAUCCACCUUCAUGAAAUAAAAUAAGAAAAAAGGAAGAAGAGGAGAUAAUUGGGACUGUGGAUGUCAAUGCACACCACUAUUUUGCCGUUCAGACUGGCUAUUAUGGAUCGAGAGAGAAUGGGAUUAGAUAAACUUGCCAAGCGAAAAAGCUCAAAGAGACAAGAGAGAAGUACAUCGGAUUCCAUGGGCCCCUGUGAACCUCAGCUAUGUCUGUUUGACAGUGUCGUCUUUUCAACGAGUUCGAGAUUCAAUGAUCAGAGCGGAGGUUGACGUUACGUAGGUCGCUUUCCAACUCGAACUGAAUUCUUACUUGAUUGACUGAAGCAGAAGUUUUACCGACAACAUCUAGUAAAUCAGUUUACCAGCAAAACAUGGUUUCAUAGUAAAUUGCGAGGUCGUAGUGCUUUUUGUGCAGGUUUCAGGUUGUUUAAAUAGAUG